This 456-nucleotide ribosomal RNA is filed under the name uncultured bacterium. RNAcentral describes it as "bacterial SSU rRNA". It matches the Rfam family "Bacterial small subunit ribosomal RNA", at positions 567 to 1019 of the family's 1533-position model. The record is from RNAcentral.
GCGCGUAGGUGGUUCUGUAUGUCUACCGUGAAAGCGUACGGCUCAACCGUAUUUUGUCGGUGGAAACUGCAGGACUUGAGGCUGGGAGGGGCUGGUGGAAUUCCCUGUGUAGCGGUGAAAUGCGUAGAGAUGGGGGAGAACACUCGUGGCGAAGGCGGCCAGCUAGACCAGUUCUGACACUGAGGCGCGACAGCGUGGGGAGCAAACAGGAUUAGAUACCCUGGUAGUCCACGCUGUAAACGAUGGGCACUAGGUGCCGGCGGUCUUGAUCCCGUCGGUGCCGGCGCUAACGCAGUAAGUGCCCCGCCUGGGGAGUACGGUCGCAGGGCUGAAACUCAAAGGAAUUGACGGGGGCCCGCACAAGCGGUGGAGCAUGUGGUUUAAUUCGACGCAACGCGAAGAACCUUACCUGGGUUUGACAUGUGCAGGAUCAGUGAUGAAAAGUCACUCUCCCUU